RNAcentral lists this long non-coding RNA (305 nucleotides) under Capsicum annuum. Its description in RNAcentral is "long non-coding RNA (CANN_LNC006429)". The record is from RNAcentral. Lineage: Eukaryota; Viridiplantae; Streptophyta; Magnoliopsida; Solanales; Solanaceae.
CUGCUCCAUUAUUGCUUUUUAUCUGCUCCAUUAUUGCUCUGUAUCUGCUCCAUUAUUGCUCUUUAUCUUAUCUUUCCAGCUGGCAUUUUGUCUUCUUUAUUCUAGAUGUACCUCUGGAAUAAUAUUAUCUUCUCCAUUGCACCUCGAACAUUGGUGGUCUGGAUAUUUAUGUCCGAUUAUCUUACAGUAUCUUGUUAGCAGUCCGUCUGAAAUAAAUCCUUUUCUUAUUGCUCGCGCGGUAGAUUGUUUUUCUGGGUUAAGUAGCGUCAGUAUCCAUUGUCUUACGUCUUCCAUAUCUGCUUGUC